AUGUGCCUUUUUGGUCUUUUUUGAACUUUUAAAUGACAUGAAAAUACAUAUACUGAAUGUAUAAAAAAAAAUUACGUAGUUUAAAAGGUAAUUAUAAACUGAACCUCCAUUUAACCAACCCCAGGUUCGGAUAUAGAAUAUCAUCAGCACAUAUACUGUUAAUGUACCCUGCACAGUUAAAUGUCUUCUACGUACCCCUCUGCCCCAGAUCACUUGGUGUUGAUCAACUUCAUUACCUUAAAAAAAAAAUGGUUUUAUGUGCAUUUGUGAACAGUAUCAGGUUUGUUUUGCAUAUUUGUGGAUUUUUUUGUAAUGGGAAUUAUACUGCAUGUAUUUUUUGUGAUUUGAUUCUCUCAGCAUUGCUUUUGAGAUUGAUUGAAGUUGACUCAUUCAGCUGUAUUUCAUUCGUUUUUAUUUCUCCAUACUAGGGUUCAGCAAAGUUCUUUCUAUAAAGGGUUAGUUAGUAAAUAUUUUAGGUUUUGCAGACCAUUAGGUCUCUGUCAUGGCUACUCAACACUACCACGGUAGUGUGAAAGCAUCAAUAGAUAAUAUGUAAAUAAAUGAGUAUAAUUGUGUUCCAGUAAAACUAUUUACAAAUACUUACCAUGGGCUGGAUUUGGCCUGUGGCCAUAGUUUGCUCAGUCUGCUCUAUAGUAUUCUGUUACAUGCAUGUACCAUAACUUAGCCAUUUUAUUGUCAGCAUUCAAAUUUUUUCCAGUAAGAGUAUGUGCAUAGAAAAAAAUUGUGUAUUUCACUUUAAAUAUACUAUAAAAUUUAUGCAUAACAUAAAUUCGACGAUAGUUUUCUUAUACAUCAUCAAACAUUAGGUCUGACAGGUCAAGAAAAGGCUUUAUAAGUAGCAAGGAACUUCUCAGGGUUCUAGAGAUUUUAUAAGAUCCCCACUUAAUGAAAUGUGUGUGUAUUGCUAUUUGUUAUUUCCUGUCACUUGAAGUAUGGCCCCUAAAACAACUUCAUGCAAAGUUUCAAAGAUCUAUUGUAGUUUCUUAUAGAGAAACAUCCUUUGACUUCAUGUGGCUGGAAUGAACAAAAUUAAGUGUGUGUAAUACUUGUUUGCCUGUUUAAAAUGCCCAGUUGUAGGGGUAUUCUAUACUGGGUACUGGAAAGGUUAACAUUACUAGGAUAUUAGGCACAGUUGGCAGCCGAAGUCUUAGGUACCUAAAAUUCCCAUUUGGGCUAUUUCUUCCCCACUGGAGAAGGUGUUUAUAAGAUUACAAAAUGAUGAAAGUGCUAGUCAAAUUACUGGGGAGCCUUUGAUUUCACAAGUGCUGGCCAGAAAGUUAGGUUUGACCGAGUUGAGUUGUUUAGUACUGUCUGCUGUGCCUCGAAGAUACUGUUCUAUUGUCUCCUUGCCUCAGUGUUAACUAAUGAAAAAAUCUGCUGUUAGUCUGAGCCCUCUUAGUUUGUAGGUAGUGAUCUUACAGGUAGUAAUCUAUAUUUUUACUGUUUUCUCUUUAUCUUCAGUGUGUUGCAGAUCAGGAUGUGUCCUAGUGUAGAUUUGUUAUUUAUCCUGCCCGAGACAUAGUGUGCUUCUGUAAUGUGAAGAUUCAGUUUUUUUUCUUCAAGUCUGGAAAGUUGUUAUUAAUUUUUAACCAUCUUCCCCCAUUGUUUCUAUUUUCUUCUAAAAACUCCUUUUAAACAUAGGGAGCUUUUUAUUCUGUCUUCAUCUCUUAAAAAUCUUUCAAUUUGCUAAUUCUUUUACUUAAUCCUCCUACUGAGAUUUUAUUUCAUCAACUUUUGUUUUCUUUUGGAUUUGUUUCUAUUUUGGAUUUUUAUUUGGUAUUUUGUCAUUUUCGCGUGUUCUUGGUUUAUUGGUGUUUCUUUAAAGUUCUUGUUAGUUCCAUUAGCUCCUUUUUCCUGCGGUGUUGGCAUUCUCCCUUAUUUUAGGGAGCAAGUUGAACAGACUUGUAUAUUUUGGGCUGCAUACCUUUUCCCUAAGUGUGUCUUUUGUGGGAGUUCUGUGGAGGUUUAUAGAGACUUCCCUGUAGGAUAGUUUGACAUUGGCAUUUUCCUGGCUUCCCAUUCUGUGCAAGGAGCAUAGUUCAAACUCCCUGCCUUCCAUACCUGGGUUCUGAAGCCUCAGCUUCCAGUACUGUUGACUGUUGAAAAUCCUAGCCCUAAAAUCCCACAUACAGUUUUUAUGACUGUUGGAUAUCUUUAUAUGAAUUUCAUUAUAGUUUCUUUCACCUAGAGGUUUUACCCAUCUGGCCUUGAGCUUGGCGGUCUUUUUUUUUAAAGGUCUGUGGUUAUUUGAAAUCCACUCAAAUUAAGAAAAGUAGAAAAUGAAAAUAUUUGAUUAUUACAGGAGUAACUUGUAAAACCCAAGGGCUAGGAAUUAGAAAUUUAGCAAGAGACAAAGCAGCUUACUCUACGUUUCUUCUAGUUUGUGUAGUCUAUAUCUCUGUGCCUUUGCAUUAGCUAUGUCUGCAGUCUGGCUUUCUCUUUUCUCCUUGCACGUGACUGUCCCAGCUGGGCUCUGCAUAAGAGUAUCUAUUUGGCCUAGAAUGGAUUCACUAUUCACCAUAGAUGGAAUUACCAUAUGUGCAGUCAGGGAAAUUGGUUAUAUAGUGAAGGGGCUGCUCCCUCUAGACCUGGAGGUAGUCAGGUUCUCUUAGAAAGAUUUAGGAACUAGGAGGAUUAUACACUCCUGGUAAAGAAGCUGCAAAAAGGUCAGAGCCUUUCAUAGUCAGUGGACUCUAGGUCCAUGUGAAUAUUGCACCAUCUAAUUAACGCUUGGAGAAUGUGGUUAGGCUAGCUGCAAGGUCACCUGUCUCUACCAUAAACAUUUUGUUCCAUAAAGAUACCGAGAGAAUGAUGUUCUUGAUUUGGCUCUUAGCCUAAAUGUUAGUGAAAAACACCAUGUUUAUUGAAAUGUGGAUAGUUUCUCUUGUUCUUAAGUUUAAUUAGGGCCCACUUGUCAUUUUUUUGUUUGUUUUUGCAAUUGCUUUUGAGGACUUAGUAAUGAAUUCUUAAUCUAUCUUGAGUUAAUUUUUUUUUUUGAGACGGAGUCUCAUUCUUUUGCCAGGCUGGAGUGCAGUGGUGUGAUCUCGGCUCACUGCAACCUCCACCUCCCGGAUUCAAGCAAUUCUCCUGCCUCAGCCUCCCGAGUAGCUGGGACUGCAGGCGCGUGCCACCAUGCCUGGCUAAUUUUGUAUCUGUAGUAGAGAUGGGGUUUCUCCAUGUUGGCCAGGAUGGUCUUGAUUUCUUGACUUCGUGAUCCACCUGCCUCAGCCUCCCAAAGUGCUGGGAUUACAGGCGUGAGCCACCGCGCCUGGCCGAGUUAAUUUUUUGUAUGUGAUGAAAGAUAGGGAUCCAUUUUUAUUCUUCUACAGAAGGAUAGCCAAUUGUCCCAGCACCAUUUAUUGAAUAGGGAAUCCUUGCCCUGUUGCUUGUUUUUGUCACCUUAGUUGAAGAUGAGAUAGUUGUAGGUAUGUGGCUUUAUUUCUGGGUUCUCUUUUCUGUUCCAUUGGUUUAUCUGUCUGUUGUUUUCUAUCAUUACCAUGCUGUUUUGGCUACUGUAGCCUUGUAGUGUACUGUGAAGUCAGGUUGUUUUUGCUUAGGAUUGCUUUGGCCAUUCUGGCUUUUUUGGUUCCAUGUGAAUUUUAGAAUAUUUUUUUCAAUUGUGUGAAGAAUGAUGUUGGUAGUUUGAUAGGAAUACAGUUGAAUCUGUAGGUUGCUUUGAGCAGUGUGGCCAUUUUAACGAUACUGAUUAUUCCAAUUCAUGAGCAUGGAAUGUUUUUCCAUUUAUCUGUGUCAUCUGUGAUUUCUCUCAGCAGUGUUCUGUAGUUUUUCUUGUAGAGAUCUUUCACCUCCUUGGUUAGAUGUAUUCCUAGGUAUUUCGUGUGUGUGUGUGGCUAUUGUAAAUGAGAUUGCGUUCUUGAUUUGGCUCUCAGUUUAAAUGUUAUUGGAAAACAUGUUUCUUAAAAGGACAUUUCACUUUGGGGGAAUAUAGAAGGGGGGCUUUUCCUGUGGGCAUUUGCUCACUGACUCAUUUCUGUCUCUGUUAUUGUAGGGACAAGCUGUGGGGGGUCUGUGUCUCCAUCCUGGCUCUCUUGCCUCGAGUCCUCAGGUUGAUGCUGCAGAGCCUGAGGGUGAACAGAGUUGGGCCUGAGGAGCUGCCUGUUGUGGGCCAGCUGCUUCGACUGCUGCUUCAGCAUGCACCCCUCAGGACUCAUAUGUUGACCAAUGCGAUCUUGGUGCAGCAGAUCAUCAAGAAUAUCACGACAUUGAAGAGUGGAAGUGUUCAGGAACAGUGGCUCACAGACUUACAUUACUGCUUCAACGUGUAUAUCACUGGGCAUCCCCAAGGGCCCAGCGCACUGGCUACAGUGUAUUGAAGAGGCCAUGGUACCUCCUGUUUGAAGUUGUUUAUUCACAUCUAUCUUAUUUGAAGAAAGACUGAUGUACUAGAUCUUUGUCAUUAAAGCUGAACUUUUAAAG
Molecule: small RNA, 4458 nt
Filed under: Pan troglodytes (chimpanzee)
Lineage: Eukaryota; Metazoa; Chordata; Mammalia; Primates; Hominidae
Description: processed transcript
Source: RNAcentral